UAGGGAAUCUUCGGCAAUGGACGAAAGUCUGACCGAGCAACGCCGCGUGAGUGAAGAAGGUUUUCGGAUCGUAAAACUCUGUUGUUAGAGAAGAACAAGGACGUUAGUAACUGAACGUCCCCUGACGGUAUCUAACCAGAAAGCCACGGCUAACUACGUGCCAGCAGCCGCGGUAAUACGUAGGUGGCAAGCGUUGUCCGGAUUUAUUGGGCGUAAAGCGAGCGCAGGCGGUUUAUUAAGUCUGAGGUGAAAACCCCCGGCUCAACCGGGGAAGGUCAUUGGAAACUGGGAGACUUGAGUGCAGAAGAGGAGAGUGGAAUUCCAUGUGUAGCGGUGAAAUUCGUAGAUAUAUGGAGGAACACCAGUGGCGAAGGCGGCUCUCUGGUCUGUAACUGACGCUGAGGCUCGAAAGCGUGGGGAGCAAACAGG
RNAcentral lists this ribosomal RNA (429 nucleotides) under Gemmatimonadota bacterium. RNAcentral describes it as "Gemmatimonadetes bacterium partial 16S ribosomal RNA". It matches the Rfam family "Bacterial small subunit ribosomal RNA", at positions 355 to 776 of the family's 1533-position model. The record is from RNAcentral. Lineage: Bacteria; Pseudomonadati; Gemmatimonadota.